Molecule: long non-coding RNA, 1375 nt
Organism: Oncorhynchus nerka (sockeye salmon)
Lineage: Eukaryota; Metazoa; Chordata; Actinopteri; Salmoniformes; Salmonidae
Exons: 2
Source: RefSeq, a predicted model, not a curated record
CCCAUGUCACACCCUGGCCUGACCAAAAUAAUAAAGAAAACACAGAAUACUAAGACCAGGGCGUGACAACUUAAGUAUUAAUUUACACCACUGGUGACUUGUCAGGUCUAAGAAAACCCACACACACUAAUCACACACCAACAAACAGACCAGACGCAACAAACACAGCUGAGGUUUCAGUGACGACCCUGUUCCUUCCUCCAUUUUCUCUUUCAUCUCUCAGUGGAGUCAGAGCAAAGGAGGACAUUUCAUCAGGAGGAGAGAGAGGAAGAGACAUCGUGGAGGAAGAAUCAGAAUUAGUUAAAUGCAGCUCUUCCUGUUAUUCAGAGACUAAAGUAACAGAGGACAUGCAGCAAUGAAGGAACCAAACUCCUCCUGAUCCCAUAAGGUUUCAGUUUUCCAGUGAUGCAUCUGUGGGGAGUGUUACCUGGCUGUUGUCCAGCCUGUAGUCUUCCUCAAGUACAGACUCCUAAGGCACAGGGUGGCAUGUGUGAUCAUAGCAUGGUUGCUGACACUUUGCUUCCUUGUGUCAAAGGGUGCUACCCAUGGCAGCAUCAAAUUCAAUGCUGGUAUCUUCACCCCGGUUCUGUCUAUCGACAUGUUCUGCAGUGUCUUCUUACUGACGAUGAUGAGCAGGACUGGUCCAGGGGAUGGAGGGAAGGAGGGAGAGGGUGAAACAGAGGAGGGAGGUAAAAUGAUGAAGAAGAGAGCCUUCCCUUCCAUCCAGAUCAUCCUGCUGACCUUGAUGCUGAACUAAACAAAACUUAUUUGAUCUCCUUAAGUUAAAUUGUGACCCCUCUUACUUUUAAUUUCAGCGUGUUGGUUAGCUUUACUCAGCCCCUCCUCUCCAUCCGCAGGGCUUGGAAAACUGCCCUUCAUCUGGGGAUAAAGAGAAAGAUACCUACACUGUAGGGGAAAGGUUGUCUUGAAUUUAUCAAGUUACCAUUCUGUUCCAUUCCCUUUAAUCAUAUUAUUCAUGCUAUUUAGAGGUUGACAUGUGUAAUAAGUUGUUUAUGGUUAAAUUAAACCGUGUGUACAGAAGGGUAAAUGGGUUGAUUGAUGUGUGUGUGAAAUUGCCAUUCAAUUGUUGUUGUAUAGCUGUUAAUCUCUGUGAAAUUAGGGAGACAAAUUGUGAGAUUUUACUAUAACCUCAUGCUCACAGUUAUAUGCUGUUCCUGACUAUUUUGCUUGUUUUGACACAUUGUAACCCCCUAAUUACUGUAUAUGUGUAUCUGUAUCUAAAUAAUAUUUUAACUUGUUUUACAUCUUGGAUAGCAGUUGCUUCUCUAACUAUUGAGUGGUGUUCUAUAUUGAAAUGUAUUGCUGUAUGUUUUUAAAAUGAAGUGUGGAAUAAAGCAAAUCUGAUUCAACAGUU